This 372-nucleotide ribosomal RNA is filed under the name uncultured organism. RNAcentral describes it as "bacterial SSU rRNA". It matches the Rfam family "Bacterial small subunit ribosomal RNA", at positions 526 to 896 of the family's 1533-position model. The record is from RNAcentral.
CGGAGGGUGCAAGCGUUGCUCGGAAUCACUGGGCGUAAAGGGUGCGUAGGCGGUCUCGCAAGUCUGGCGUGAAAGCCCAAGGCUCAGCCUUGGAAGUGCGCUCGAAACGGCGAGGCUGGAGUGCCGGAGGGGAGAGUGGAAUUCCCGGUGUAGCGGUGAAAUGCGUAGAGAUCGGGAGGAAUACCGGUGGCGAAAGCGACUCUCUGGACGGCAACUGACGCUGAGGCACGAAAGCGUGGGGAGCAAACAGGAUUAGAUACCCUGGUAGUCCACGCCGUAAACGAUGGACACUAGGUGUCGGGGGUAUCCACUCCCUCGGUGCCGCCGCUAACGCAGUAAGUGUCCCGCCUGGGAAGUACGGUCGCAAGAUUA